This 465-nucleotide ribosomal RNA is filed under the name uncultured Thiobacillus sp. Its description in RNAcentral is "bacterial SSU rRNA". It matches the Rfam family "Bacterial small subunit ribosomal RNA", at positions 912 to 1382 of the family's 1533-position model. Lineage: Bacteria; Pseudomonadati; Pseudomonadota; Betaproteobacteria; Nitrosomonadales; Thiobacillaceae. The record is from RNAcentral.
GACGGGGACCCGCACAAGCGGUGGAUGAUGUGGAUUAAUUCGAUGCAACGCGAAGAACCUUACUACCCUUGACAUGUCCGGAACUUGCCAGAGAUGGCUUGGUGCCCGAAAGGGAAUCGGAACACAGGUGCUGCAUGGCUGUCGUCAGCUCGUGUCGUGAGAUGUUGGGUUAAGUCCCGCAACGAGCGCAACCCUUAUCAUUAGUUGCUACGCAAGGGCACUCUAAUGAGACUGCCGGUGACAAACCGGAGGAAGGUGGGGAUGACGUCAAGUCCUCAUGGCCCUUAUGGGUAGGGCUUCACACGUCAUACAAUGGUCGGUACAGAGGGUUGCCAAGCCGCGAGGCGGAGCCAAUCCCACAAAGCCGAUCGUAGUCCGGAUUGUUCUCUGCAACUCGAGAGCAUGAAGUCGGAAUCGCUAGUAAUCGCAGGUCAGCAUACUGCGGUGAAUACGUUCCCGGGUCUU